This is a long non-coding RNA of Octopus bimaculoides (California two-spot octopus), 3141 nucleotides long. RefSeq lists it as uncharacterized. The record is from RefSeq and is a predicted model, not a curated record. NCBI's taxonomy places the organism in Eukaryota, Metazoa, Mollusca, Cephalopoda, Octopoda, Octopodidae.
UAUCAAUGGCCUACUUGCUCUGACUUCUAAACAACAAACACUCCUAUGCAUAUAUUUAUAUACUUCGUUCCUCUUUAACUUUCUGCAUACAGGUAUUAUUUCAAUGAAAAAAUAAAUACUCUCAAACUAGACAAACACUGCUUCUGUGAAAAGAGACCUUGAGAACAUUUUCCAAAGGUGACAUUACAUGAUCUCUCUCUCUCCAUUAACAACAUGCAGUUAAAACCUUCAAAACGGCCACAAAUGCCAGGAAACAGAAUCUCUGAUGAACUUAUAAGGUGACCACACACACACCAUCAUCAUUUAACAUCCAUCUUCUUAGAUGGCAUGGGUUGGACAGUAUGACAGGAGCUGGCAAGCCAGAGGACUGCACCAAGCUCCACUGUCUGUUUUGGCAUGGUUUUUUUUAUGGAUAGAUGCCCUUCCUAAUGCCAACCACAAUACAGAGUGGACUGGGUGCAAUUUUUUGUGGCACCAAUACAUACAUAUAUAUAUAUACACACAUAUAUAUAUAUAUAGCACACCAAUGAAUGUUGUAAACUGUGACACUGUAUGUCUGUGAUGAGUAUAUGCUUGCAUCUGUAAAAUCGGACAGCUUGGACAUGUUACCCAAGUCUAAGCACAUUAUCCAUUUACAUUUCAGAAUACAGCAGACACAUCUUCCAUGAAGGUACAAGGUCAGAGUUCAGUGUUUAUAUGUUGAUAUAUUGAAGAAGUGAAGAAAUCCUUGCUUAUUGAUGAAAUCUCUAAAAAUCUUAUAUAAAACAAGAAUUUAAGCUUUGAGACUGAAACAAAUGCACCCCUUCAUACUAAGAUACCUGACAUAACACAGAAUGAUCUCUAAUUAUUGUUGUUGCUGUUUUUCUCUCCCCAAGAUAUCCCUGAUGAAGCAGAUUAUAAACAAAGGCAUUCCAGCUGUGAUCAUUUCACUAUUUCUUCAGGAAGCUGCAUCAGUUCGUACAGACUACUCUUGUCAGAAGUGGAUCCAUGCUUCCUUUGAAGUGAGGAAAAUAAUAAUGGCAGACCCUCAGCUUACCCAAGAAAGGAAGAAGUAUGCUGUUAUUGUGAUUAUAAAAGCUGAGCAUGGUGAUUUAGAAAUAUGUCAAUUUUUAAAAGUUGCCAGAUCUUUCGUCUACAAAGUUUGCAAGGAGCUUGAGACUGAAGAUAGAAAUGUAUCACCAGUACCAAAGCAUAAAAAGCAUUCUAAACACUCUGAAAUCAUCAGAACACUUGAAUUUAUCCAGCAAGUUCAACAAACCAUUGAUUACAAUCCCAGAAAGCCCAUGAAGUUAAUUGCAAAAGAUCUCCAUGUGUCAAAAGGAACAGUCAGAAAUGUUGUCCACGAAGACAUCAGAUAUCAGUCUUAUAUGGUGAAGAAAGGUCAAUUUGUCAGGAAAAACAAAAGAAAAUCACACACACACACACACACACACAUACACAUCUAUUAGACUGGGAAUAUGAAUGAGGUAGUAUAACAAAAUGUUUCACCACGUUUAUAUUAUUGUGUGUCCUUGUCUUGCAAGCUACUUGGUGAUCCCAUAAGUGAUGGCACCAUAUAAAAGGCACCUGUGCUAGCGCCUUGUAAAUAGCACCCUUGCUGAUGCCACAUAAAUAGCAACUGUGCUGGGGCCACAUAAAAGGCGCCCAUGCCAGCACCAUGUAAAAAGCACCCAGUACACUCUGUAAAGUGGUUGGUGUUAGGCAGGGCAUCCAUCUGUAGAAACUAUGCCAAAACAGAUGACAAGAGCCAGCUCCUGUCAAAUCACCCAACCCAUGCCAGCAUGGAAAACGGGCAUUAAAUGAUGAUGAUGAUAAGAAUACUUAUGUCGGACUGUUUCCAUGUAAAAUCCGAUUUAUUUCUCAGGGCAUCUUAACUCAACAAUAUUAUGGUGAGAAUAACACUUCAUAACAAAUAUCAGAAUUAUAUAUUUUGCUGAUAAUCAGUGGCUGUGGUGGUUGUUUUCCAAAGAAUAAAUAAAUAAAAAUAAAAAAUAUAGAAAUAUAAAAAAAAAAACAUAAAAUUUUUUUUUUCAUAGAAUUGUGAAAUUAGGUUGAUUGAUAUUCUUGUGAAUUUCUAGGAAUAUUUUUUGAGAAAUUCUUUGCUUUUUAAAUAGAUUAUUUUGUGCAACAGCAUUAGUCUCCCAUAAAUAAAGCUUAGAUAGUUGGAGAGAGAGGAAAAGAAGAGAAAAAUUGAUUAGAAUUAUAAUCAAAAUAAGUAGAAGAAUAACAAAAAAAAAAUGGAGGAAGAAAAAUGAUGAAAAAUACAAGAAAAUGGGGAAAAGAAUAUAAAAAAAAGAGCAGAUAAAAAAGAGGAAAACUGAAAUAAAAGUUGAGACAGAAGUAAAAGGAAAAGUAGAGAAUAGAUAUGAGAAGAACAAAAGAGGAAGAAAUGUAUGUGUAGAGAAGUGUGAUGUAUUAACAGGAGAAAUUAUGAGAAGCCCUCAUAUUUGUAAUGCUGUGUUAGAUAUAUAAAAUUGAAGCUAUGAUUAAAUUUUUUUUUAUUAAAAAAAAAUGAAGGAAAGAUAGGACUGCAUAAAUGGGGAGAAAAAAAAAUUGCUUUUCAUGAAGUUGCAGGUAAUUAGCAUACAUUAAUGGUAUGCAAGAUAAGGUAGGAAUGACUGGGGAAGAGGGCGAUGAAGGGAAAGUAAUAGUCAGAAGUCAUUCUCUUCUUAUCACCCCUGCAGGGAGGUGGUGGCUGGUAAAGGCAGAGGUGCAAGUAUGUGCACGAACACAUACACACACACACACACACACACACAGGUAAACUUUUGUACAGGGUACACAACAGCUGUAAAGGAUAUAAUUAUAAAUAGAUCAUGUUGUGAAUCUUUCUCAAUUUACUUUUAUUUUAUAAGCAGAUGGAAGAAGAAGAAAGUAAAGAAGAAGAAGACGAAGAAGAAGAAGAAGAAAAAAUAUGAGAAAGCAGCAAGCAAACAUGUGUACAUAAAUAAAAUAAUAAUAAUAAUCAUAAUAAUAAUAAUUAUAAUAAUAAUAAUAAUAAUGAUGAUAAUAAUAAUAAUAAUAAAACAAUUGCCAUCAAAAAUGAAGAACAAACAAAGGAACAAUUGUUAUUCUUGUUUAAUACUAGUGUUUGUGGUGUUGAGUGGUGUAUAGAAAUAAAUAAGUGAAUAAACAAUAUGA